GUCUGUGGCCAUGCUGCACUGAACAAGCCCGAUCCCGUCUGAUCUCGGAAGCUAAGCAGGAUCGGUCCUGGUUGGUACUUGGAUGGGAGACCACCUAGGAAGACCAGGUGCUAUAGGCG
RNAcentral lists this ribosomal RNA (119 nucleotides) under Pteropus alecto (black flying fox). The record is from RNAcentral. Lineage: Eukaryota; Metazoa; Chordata; Mammalia; Chiroptera; Pteropodidae.